Molecule: long non-coding RNA, 224 nt
Organism: Vanessa tameamea
Lineage: Eukaryota; Metazoa; Arthropoda; Insecta; Lepidoptera; Nymphalidae
Exons: 2
Source: RefSeq, a predicted model, not a curated record
AUGAUUAUAAUCAAAGCUUUUUAUAUUGUAAUAUUUGUGACAUCAUUGUUUCAAUAUAUGACGUCUUACUUCAAUAUGGAGGAUGAGCGGAUGAAGCAAAUAGUAUUCUUUUGAGAGAUUAACUUCGGCCCAGUAGCUUCUCUGAAGAUAUCCUGGAGGAGUUCUUCCAUGUCAACCGUGAUAACAAUACAUUUUUAUUCACUGCCUAUGCGAUUUUAAAUAAA